CAGCAGCCACGGGAAUACGAAGGGUGCAAGCGUUACUCGGAAUUACUGGGCGUAAAGCGUGUGUAGGUGGUUGUUUAAGUCUGUCGUGAAAGCCCUGGGCUCAACCUGGGAAUUGCGAUGGAUACUGGGCGACUAGAGUGCGGUAGAGGAUAGUGGAAUUUCCGGUGUAGCAGUGAAAUGCGUAGAGAUCGGAAGGAACAUCUGUGGCGAAGGCGACUAUCUGGGCCAACACUGACACUGAGACACGAAAGCGUGGGGAGCAAACAGGAUUAGAUACCCCUGUAGUCCCUGUCUCUUAUAC
RNAcentral lists this ribosomal RNA (301 nucleotides) under uncultured bacterium. RNAcentral describes it as "partial 16S ribosomal RNA". It matches the Rfam family "Bacterial small subunit ribosomal RNA", at positions 509 to 807 of the family's 1533-position model. The record is from RNAcentral.